GAGUGGCGGGUCAGGAGCGGCGGGCCGGGAGGGCGGAGCGGGAGGCGGUCGCUCGUCCUCCUGAGGGGAGCGCCGUCGUUGUUAUAAUGCCAGACUUAGAAAAAGUCAAUUAAACGUUUCUGUAAUACAACUCUUCCCCCUGGGGGCUGACGUGUGUGUCAGAGAGGGCUGCAGUCUCAGGAAGGCGCUCAGUGAAGGCGAUGCCCCCAAGCUGUCAGCCCUGCUUCCUCAGUCCUUGGCGUUAGGCGCAGCUGAGGGGCAGAGUUGGAAGCGGGGCACGGGGUGCGGCGGGUGAUGUGGCAGACCCUGUGGAGGCGCGGUGACUCUUCCAGAAAUACAGAAGAAAUCUCCAAGUUCUGCAGCUUUUCUGUGACGCAGCUGAUCAGAUCACAGAAAAUUUCUAGGCUACAACCAAGAGUUAGGAAAAGGAAUCAAUGGGUGAUUUCCACCCCAGUAACAACUGCCUCCCUUGGGAGCCCACCAACAGCCAUUCAGGCAGGGGUACAGCCAUGUGCUUGAUGGCAUGAGGAUUCACUUUCUGGGGAGAAAUUCAAGCGGUCAGCUCUGCCUUUUUUACCAUUCAACACACACUUCUGAGCUGAAUAAGCCCAAGUAUGGUGCCUCUAAGAAAGUGAAGUGCAGCGGUAUCUCAGAAGCAUCCGGAGGUAUGAGAAUAUAAUUUAAAAUUCUCAAAUGCUUUAUAAAUACUUAUUUACUUAUAAGAGUUCUCCAGAAUCCAAUAUUUUCGUCUGUCUGACAAAAUAUUUUGAGUCAUAUUCACCAAAAUCUGACGAUAGAAAUUCUUAACGUUUUUCAUUUUCCUUAAAACUCGUAGAGAUCUCCUUUGAUCUGCUGUAGUGUUUUGCAAAUGCAGUCAGUCUUUGGAGGGCUUCUGACAAACCUUCUCCCGUGACAGCACAGCAGGGCUGUACGUACCAAUUUCUGUCACAGCAGUACUUCUUCACGUGGAAUCUCCUGGUUAUUUCUUCAGCAUUUAAAGCUCCGGGCAAAUCCUGCUUGUUUGCUAGCACGAUGACCGGUACGUUUUUUAUAGAUUCAUUCUUUAAAAGGAGUUCAAAUUCUUUCUUUGAUUCCUCUAAGCGUUGCUUAUCAGCGCUGUCCACAACAUACAGGAGUGCUUCUGCAUUUUCCAGGAAAUUGCACCAACGCUGCCUCAUUUUCUCUUGUCCUCCAACAUCCCAAAAAGUCAGUGUAAAAUCUUUCCCAGUUUCGAUCAUAUCGACAUUAAAGCCGAUUGUUGGAAUUGUUAGAAAAACUUCAUCAGACUUGAACUUGUACAACAGAGUAGAUUUCCCUGCAGAAUCAAGUCCUAACAUCAGUAUAUUAGCUUGUUUUACUUUGGAGUGCUUGGUGAUCUGGAGGCCCAUUUGUGCCGUGGUUUCUGUAUUAAACCUUUAAAGGCGGAAUUCGCUGUCUUCUGUGGAGCCAGUUUUUAUCAGUACGACUUCUUUCUUCCUCCGUCAGAUGGAGCACAAAGAGUAAGGAAAAGGAAGUGGAAGCAGCUGCUUUGUGCUAUGAAAACUGGUAGAUCUACAUUGGGCCAACCUGAUUAUACUGAGUGCUUCAGUACUUGUUUGGCCUUACACCUAGAUGGACUCGGAAGGGUCAGGACAUUUGUCUUUGCUUCAGAAAGUCCCAAAUCAGCAAAAGGAUGCAAAGGUCUUCUGGCUAAAUAAGCUGCUGACUGAUACGGGUAAUCGUUCUGGUACUCAUGACGUGGGGUUGCCCUGAUAUUACACAUUGAGCAAAGUAAACCUUGGUCUUGACAGGCAAGUUGUAAGCUGGUUUUGCUUGAAGCUAGAGGGGUUAUACCAGAACUAACUGGGGGCAACAGAAGAUGACAGUGCCAUACUCACUUCUGUACAUUUUUUGUAUUGAAUAUCACACGUAUAUUCCGUAUAGGAUUUCUUUCAGGAGAAACCAUGGAAGAAAGUAUUAGUGUUUCUUUAUAAAUAAUGCAUAUGAAUGAAUUGAAAGAUGGGGAGACAAGCAACCGUGCAAAACUCGUGAACACAGCCAAACAAUUCACAAUCCCCUGCAAAAUAGCACACCACUUCCACAACGUGUGGGCACAACCUCCGUGGGAGCUGCGGCACUAUGGGGGAUGUAUUCUGGGUACUGCUGCGAUUCCAGGAUUACUUUCCAUUCUCUAUAUAUUUUCUUCAGCUGCAUUCCAUAUUUAUGGUCUCAGCAGCUGUGUUAUUACACCUGACUAUCACUUUAAAGAAACGAUUAAGCAGCAUCAGACUUUUUACAAACGAACUACACGUGUUCCUGGCCAGAACAGCUUGUUUCUGAGGGCUCCGUGCUUCUGCAGUUGUGCAGGAGGGUCCGUGCUCAGCCAGGCGCUCCAGCCGUGCUCACAGGCUUCGACCUGACCGAGUUCACAACGUGAGCAAGGCAGCAAAACGCUGACACAGAGCACAGCAUCCACGGCGGGCACACCGUGAUUCCACCGCAGCCCCAUCUCUCGCAGCCCCACCUGGACACACUGAAAUGCCACGCACGGAUCUGCAGCCGGCAACGCUCGCACGCAGGUCGGCUGUUCAGCGCCGUCAGUCAGCACAGCAAGGCGAGCGUGUGGGAACGGGAGCGGGCCUUACGGGUGUCCAAAGCUCAGCAUUCUGCUUGUGCUCACUCUGGGAUACAGUAUCGAUUCACGUGCAUAGGAUGCUACAUGUAACAGCUGGGCCAAUGACUCUCGGGUUUGUGUUCCUCAUUAUAGCACAAUUUAGCCGACACGCUAAGAAAAAGGUACUGCUUGAACAAUAGCAUUCUGAACACUACUUUUUCGUUUCUUUUUCAGUAAGAGGCGUACUUCAGAACUGGUACAAAUUUUGAAGGCUACUGACAUACUUCUGUAAAUCUGUUACUGCCCAGUUCCAGUUAGUGUCAUGCAUAUGAUCCCAUUAAAAUGGAUCUUUUUCUUUCUUCUUGUAUUUUCUGUUGUCACCAUGUGGUACAUUACUUUUUCUUCAAAUGUUGUGGUUGAACAUGUGAACAGCAUGUAUUUCUAUGAGUAUGAACCAGUUUACAAGCAAGCCUACCUCUUCACAUCGCAUCAACACUUGAAAUGCAAAGACAUAAAUCCAUUUCUGGUCAUCUUGGUGUCUUCGAGACCUAAGGACGUGAAGUCAAGGCAAGCCAUAAGGAUAACAUGGGGAUCUAACAGCUUCUGGUGGGGACAUCGAGUUCUAACCCUGUUCUUACUAGGUCAGGAAGCGGAAACAGAGGACAAUUCCGCAGCACUCUCAGUAGAAGAUGAAAUCAUACUCUAUGGUGACAUAAUUCGCCAAGAUUUUAUGGACACUUACAACAAUCUUACCUUGAAAACAAUCAUGGCAUUCAGAUGGGUGGCUGAAUUCUGUUCUAAUGCUAGAUUCAUCAUGAAGACGGAUACCGAUGUCUUCAUCAACACUGGUAACUUAGUAAAGUUUCUUCUGAAGUUGAACUCCUCAGAAAGCAUUUUUACAGGUUAUCCUCUUAUAAGUAACGUUGCUUAUAGAGGCUUUUACCAAAAAACAUACAUUUCUUAUGAUGAAUAUCCAUUCAAGUUUUAUCCCCCAUACUGCAGUGGAAUGGGCUAUGUAUUGGAUGGAAAACUGGCUCUGAGGAUUUAUGAACUGAUGGGUCAUAUCAAACCUAUAAAGUUUGAGGAUGUUUAUGUUGGAAUUUGCUUAAAUAUACUUAAGGUGAACAUCAGUAUUCAAGAAGGUAAUCAACAAUUCUUUAUUGAUAAAAUUGAUUUUGAUAUCUGUAAGUACAGACGCUUGAUUGCAGUCCAUGGCAUUACGCCAAGUGAAAUGAUCAGGUUCUGGAAGGAUUUGUCAUCCAUCAUUUCAGUCACUUGCCUUUGAUUCUGUACUAAUAUAUUGAUAAAUGUAAACUUGUAUCACUUAAAACUUUGAAUUCCAGUGUAAAAAUGUUGAACUGAAGUACAGGGCAACACGGAACAAAAACAGGUGUUAAGAUGACAUUGAUUGAAAGACAACUGUGCUGCAGCAGCAGAACUGUGAUUGCAGCAUUCCUCUGGGAUCCGCUGAGGCUCCCGGUACCUUUAUUUAGGAACUCACAGAGCACAUUUCCAUGUGCGUAUCCUAUGCACAGAGCGUACAUGGAAUGCGCUGCACUCUCUUGCUUUGACCCUUCUCUGUGCACUCUACUGUAACCAUAGGAUGUCUGCCCAAAUCUCCUGGAACUCGUUAAGUAUCACUGAAGAAUAAUGUUUAUGUCAAGAAAUGAGCUGGGAAGAUGGUUCUCACAUCACUACUUAAUGAUAUUUCUUUUGGUGCGUUUGUGAACUGCAUAAUCCUUUGCCAGCCUCAAGUAUUUGUUCUCUGCACAGCACAAAAUUUGGAGCUACCUUCUUAUUUAAAUGUAUCACCUCUGUCCUUCUUCUGGGAGCUUUACAUCUUCUCAUUUAAACAGUAUUCAAAUGCAUGUAUAUUUAUAGUCUGUGUUCAAAUGUAUGUAUAUUUAUAUACAUGCAAAAUAGAAUUGUUUUGAUGUCUUUCAGGUAGAACUGCUAAUGCUCACAGGCCGUUAGAGAGCUAGAUGCAGAAGAGUUGACGUGCAGUGCAGGGCCGCUGGCUGCAGUAGGAGCUCUGCACAAGAGUCAUGGAUGGUCCAACAGACCCUGCGCGUUGAGGCUAAUUGAAGUUGCAAGAGUAAGUGCUAAAAAGCUUGUUCUACAAAUAAACUCUGGAAGGCAUCGGAAAGAGAGCUGCAUUAUUAAGAUGAAGGCAGAAAGAGAGCAGGUAAGUAGCAGUACCCGUCUGCCAUGCGGUACGGGACAGCAGUGCUGUCGGUCUGUGGGAGGGAGCACCACGUGCAGGUACAGAGUAUUGCAGGAGAGUACCAAUGGGCAUUUGUGCAGAAUGGAGUGGAAUUUAGCAUUUGAGGUCAGCUCAUUAUCUACCUGAACAAAAAACAUUAAAUGUUUUGGAUAAAUGGUUAGAAGUUCUGCUUCUAUAAGAAAACUACAUGAAUAAAUGGCACCCCACUUUGCCUUUAUUUAUGAAGCUUUUCUCCGUGGUUGUUCAAGCAGCACCCUGAUCACAGUGGCACUCUGUGGCUGGCACCUGCUGAAGGCACUCUGACUCCUUGUCUAAAUUUCUGAGAGAAAAUGAACGGCCAAUUUUGCAUUUCUGACUGAAACCCAAACCUAUGAAGUGUUCCAUGUGGGGAAUACAGUCAUUAUUACAGCCCCAUGUAAAAAAUGAUGAUUUUGAAUACAGUCUUCUGGUUGUAUGAUCUGUGUGUACGAAGGAGAAUGAGAACUGAGCCAGAAGAGCAUCCCCAGAGUGCUGGGUGCGGUGUGCAUUGCCUCAGCCUUGGCAGCAGCCCCUGACUGAUGGCAGGCUGUGUCAGUCCCCGACCUCAUGGUGCUGCCUGCCACUGCAUGGAAAAGCAAACUUCUCUUUGUUUGCUUCUCCACCUAUUUUUAUUUCAGUCAUUUAACCUUGUGCAGAGUUAGAAACCAUUGCGCACUUGUCAGUUGCCUCAGAUUUAAUGCAAUUGCACAAUGGAAAAUUCCCAACAUAAAGGGUCCAAAAUGGAGAACACAUGUUAUAUUGGUCCCUUGGUGCAGCUGUCUGAAUAAUGUCCUGCUGAGCAGUUAAAGAAGGAAAUCACCAGGAAAUUUAAAACCUGUGGAAUAUUGGCUGCAGAGAUGCAGUGUAUAUUUGGUUUGCCUUUUGUGUUGUUUUUUUUCUGAGUCAGGUAAGAUUGGUGGUGUUAUAUUUUAGCAUCAGCCAAGGUGCCUUAUAGAAGUCAGGGCUGCACCAGCUACACUGGUUUUUAAGGUACCUGCUAUAUCAAAAUGAGGAAAAGGAAGUGAUAUAGAAGUGAGAUAAAAAGAGGGGAAAAGAUUCCAUCAGGAGAUAGAAAAAAUGGAAAAAUAAAGGUACAGAAGUAGCUGGAGGCACAUCUGUAAUCAGCAGAAGGAGGAUGCCAUGAGGCAGCCAGGAUGAGCUGCAGGUGAUGCACACAAAGGGCAGGGAGCCUUUUUAGACCAAAACAAGAGCUAAAGCUAUUCUAAGGCCUGGGCUAAGAAGGGAGCGAUAAAGAACUGAGGCCUGGUGAACAAAGCACAUCCAUCAUGGGGCGACAGGCGCACGGAGGUAGGCGAGGACAGAAGUGAAACAAGGCAGCAGCAUAGCCAGGGCUGCAGCUGCCCUGGAUGGCAGAAGCUGACUGAAAUUCCCCCCCUGUCCCCAUCUCAUCCCACUCCAUCAGUAGAAGUGCAGUACAUCUCCCAGGAGCUCACCAAAUCCCCACCUUUCUUCUCUGCCCUCUCUGCUGAGUUUCCUUUCUCUCUUCCAGGCACUGUCUGAUAUCUCAUAAGAGAACACGUGUAAGCUGGUCCCUUGCUCUUCCUCCUUUUCACACUCUUCUACCUGGAAUUUUUGCCCAUUCCUCCUUUGUAAAAAGUGACACUGCUAUAUGCCCUUACCCCAGGCUCUGAAACUGCCACAGCUCCAGGACAAGGAGCUUCCCCACAGCUCUCCCAGACAACUGCACUUCCCACGGGUGCCUUCCUACCUCCUCUUAGCAUGCUUCUUCCAGUCCUCCUCCACCUCUGUGAUCUUUGCACACAGAGAAAACUGGAACAUUAGACUUCCACAUCUUAUGUUUUAGUCAUGGCUUCCCCUUUUGCAGAACCUCCCUCACACUAUAUACAUCGAAGUUACUUGUCUGCUGCAUUCCCAACCAGGUAACUUAAGCUUCUUUUUCCAUUGUCACCUCAUCCCUAGGCCUCUCUGUCUCUUUCCUCUUGCAACACAAGCCUUCCUUAGUAAUGCCCCUUUCUAAACAAAACAUCAUUAGCCUUCAUGUGUUUUAUGGCUGCCACUUCCUUUUCUAUCCAUAAGCUCACUGAACAUGCUGUUCGUAGUCAUUGCCUGGGGUGUUCUUUCCCUCCAGCUCUGCUCUACGUUCUCUCCAGCAUAGCCUCUGCCUCAGGCUCACCACUGAAACAGCUUUUGCCAAGAUCUUAACAACGUUCUCAAGCUGAAGCGGAGACAGCCAUCUCUUCCCAUUCCUCUUAUCUGCCUCCGGCACAGCCAGCUCAGCGCUUCUCGGCAGAUGAGAUACUUCUUCUUUCCUAGUUUUCACCUUUGCUUCUCUAAUCACAAACAUCUCUCUCCCAGCACAGUCUAUGAAGAUGCCUUCAUCUCUCUUCUCUCUUGUUUAACACAGCUAUGAUAGUCUUUGACUCCCUCUCCAUAGGCUUUACUCCUAUGAAAUCUCAUCCGCAAACACAGACAUCACCAGCGCUUCCAUACAGACCUCCUGACCUGCUUCUCUGUCCCAGAGGGGCUUCUUCUCAACUAAAGGCCACCCCAUUUGCUGCACAGAUCCUGAUCCCGUACCCAGCACCCUACUGGCCAGCGCAGCCCCACUGUGUCCCUCAGCCUGCUCUGUGCCACCAGUGGAACCACACCUGGAGCUGCCCUGGGUCGCUGCGGGGCAGUGCAGUGCAGGACACGUGCUGUCUCAGCCCCACUGUCCAAUGCAUCCAGUGUGGGACUGCAGGGCAUGCUCAGCUUCAUCUCCACCACACAGGAAAACAAGAAAAUUGGCAGGAUAAUGACCUCAAUAAUAGAGACUGUGAGCAUUAUCUUUGGAGAGGCCAACUCUGCCUCUUAAUGUUUGGCCAAAAAGCAUUAAACUCUAGAGGGCUAAAAGCUACAUUAAUUCCCACACAAACAGGGCUUGUGACAGGGAGUUUGUAUUCAGCUGAAGUGUUCAUUAUAGAAAAUGAGUCUAAUCUCAUCUCUGGAAUUGUCCCCACCUCCUUUUCCUGCAGCUCCCUGCGAGGUGCGCAGGGCCAAGCAGGCUGCACGCCAUGCAGGCACGUCCUUGGGUCCCCUCAGCACUGGUGUUUCCUACAUGAGCUGUACCUGCCUCUUCUGCAGGGCAAUAAACUGCUUUGCAAAAGUCUGCUCUGUACAGCACAGACCUAAAAAGAACCAUUCUGACAAAUGCAAGAUGUCUCAGUUUCUUAAUCAGCUCAGUGUAACACUUUUUUCCCAAGAUUAAAAGACUGCCAUCUUUUAAAAGAGAUUAAAACAAACAUAAUUCUUAGAAAUAUAUAGAAACUACUUCACAUUCAGUUUCUAAGAUCGUAGCUUAAUUCCCAUCAUGAAGCAAUUCCUACAUGACUAUGCAAUACUACUUCAAGUUUUUUCAGUCCCUUCCAACCUAAAGUCAUUCUAUGAUUUUAUCAUAUGAUGUAUCCUAAAAGCUGAUUUCUUGGCAUUGCUCCUAUAUUCAGUUUCACCUUAACACCACUCAGCAGUUGAAUACAUCAGAAGUAGAAAUAUAUUGAAAACAUUUUCAUUUUUUUUUCUGGCUAGAAUUUUUUUCCCAGAUUCUUUUAUAUCCACUAAAAAUCUUCUACAGCUUUAAGAAGUUUUGCAUCACAGUUGCUUUCUGUGCAGAAAGAUGACUGCAUUGUCACAUAUGACUUUUACUGAUAAUGUCAAUUUAAUCAGAAGCGUCAGGCUGCCCUUGGGAUUCCCUGCUUCUGUGUCCUCUCCAUGCGGGGCUGUUUGCUAACUCUCCUCUCCCACGUAGUUUAGAAGCCAUCUCUCUUCUACCUGCCACCAACAUUUAACAAAGGCUCUAUUUCAUCUUGCACACUACACUGCCGUCAGGACAUGCGGGAGCUCUCUGCAGCAAGGUGUAAGGCAGAACCAGGCAAAUCCAGCACUUGAGAGCAGGAGGACACAGGGAUAUCUGGGCAGAGCACGUCUGCACCAGCAGUACUGGUAUGCUGGCACUGGCUUGCAAGACAAACCAAACCUCCCAUUAGAGACCAGAGCUCCAGCCCUCGGGUUUGUGAAGGAUAAGGUGGCUGUGGCACAAGCAUCACUCAGGUUGCUGCUGAUCUCACUGAGGACUGCUGUAAAUACCUGUCAUGCUCUUCAGCUGCCUCCAAGGCUCCUGCAUGACAGAUCGCUCACAUUAACUCCUGAACAAAUAAGAAACUUAUUAGUGCACAGAGAGAGCUGUGCAGCAAGGAAGUAUUUAAGAGUUAUUUAUUCUGUGCCCGAGGCACAUCUCAAAAUCAGAAAAACAAACAUGCUCUCUGUCCAAAGGGAUUACACUCUGACUCUGUAUUUCACGUGCUGGCAGAAGACUGGGAGUAAGAACUGGAGGAAGAAAGGGAUGGGAGUGACAGUGCACCAGAACCACGGGCGGGUUAAGAGGUGUCACGAAGAGAGCCCCUCGCCAAACCUGACACAGAAGGUACUGAGCUGAGAAUGCAGCUGAAGUCAAGCUGGUGACUCUUCCCCUCACCAAGUUAAUCAAACUUGGAGACCAAUCAUCUUCCAGGCCAAAAGUUACCUCCAGCUGUUCUAUUUUCCUCCUACAUCCUCUUCUGCAGAAGCACCAAGCUGGUGGACAGGCCCAGACAAACACACAGCUUCCAAAGACACCCACAAACAGCUGCAGCCAGUGCCUGCUGCCUGUGAUUGCAGAGCUGCACAGAAAGCAUGCAAACGGAGGAAGCAAAAAGCACAGAGAUUGCCCAAACUCAGCAACCGCCUCUAUUAGAAAGGUGUUACACUUGUUUAUAGCCAACUUCUUUACCUUAAUGGGUUGUUACAGAUUAUGGAUGGGGUUUUUAAGAGAGCUGUGCUUGAGAACAGAAAGCUUUCUUUUCUUCCUGCUCCCUUCUCCUCCUACAUGCAGCCAUGUAUAAUUCAGACACCGGGAAAUAAUGAAAAAGGCUAACAGUGAUUGAUUGUGGCGUGCAAUGCAGUUGUGCAUGCAAAGCAGGGAUUAGCACAGGCUGAACAAUGCUGCAAAUAAGAGCCCAAGGACAUGACAGAAAGAUGCAGACAGGAGUGUAAGCGAUCUCUUGAAACACAGCAGCACCCUCAGACCAUAAAUCUGUGUGCAGGUGCAUGUGCUUGACAUUAUUAUAAUAUAUUUUCUUCUCAAUGAUUCUCCCACUGAAAUGUUUUCAAAAGAACCUAAAUAUUAGGUUUUUUUGCACAUUACAUGGCAAUAGUAGGAGCAAUGAGGCUGAAGAGAUUCAUUUCAACACAGAGAUCCUGCCAUUGCAAGUGUAAUGAAGGGUUUUGCAAAGGUGUAACUGCUACUGAUUUUGCGCUGCUCUGUCCUGCUACAGCAAUACUGUUUGGGUAACGAUGUGGGAAGAUUUAAUAAGGAUCUCCAAAGGGUCUGCCAGGCUCGUAGGUAGAACAAACUUUGCCUCCAGGCAUCUCUCUUUGCUCCCAUCAGCAGAUGACAAAGCUCCAUUAGCUGAGAGGCUUUCUCCCAGGGGCCUGCAACUGAUGUCCUCUCUGCAUGCACUGAAUUUCAAGCAAACUGAUGUCUUCGAAUGCUGUCUUGAUAUUUCUUAAAUAAAUUAAAAACAAAAACAUAAAUCUGUGCUGAUAUAUGUCUCACCAUGCAACAUAUGCAUCUGAUGUUGAAGAAACACACUGCAGAACCAACAGCAAGCACCUCCAGCAACAAUGCAUGUCAACUGAAGAGAAAGGUUUUCAAAAGAAAUCUAACACAAACUUUCACAAAGUGAGCCUCAAACAAGGGCUUUAAUUCUCUGCAUUUUCUGCAUUUUAAUUCUUAUGCAUUUUUUAAGUCCUUCAUCGGCCAAAAAUAGAAUGAAGGCGAAGCGAUCAGGCUGUGAUAAAGCAGUGUCCCUCACAAAGUCCUCACACAACCUUUGCACUGCUCCUCAGUGCACAGGCCUGAGCCGACUGUCACAGCUGAGGGGUGAGUUGAGCAAGCAACUGAAAACAAGUCUAUGCAUUGAAGAUGCUCUCUGGACUUAACUGAUACGCACUCAGAGAAAGGAAUUAAAUCCAAAUGCUCUUUCAACAUACUCAGCACACCAAGCCAGGAAUUUCUGUUGUAGCUGAGUCAUUCUUCCUUUACUUGUGGUUUUUUUUGGGCACGGGCAGCAGAAGAAUUCAAUGCUGACACAUGCUCUCCCUACAGGAAAGUCCAUCCCAUGCAAUUGGAUUGCAAGUUUUCAAAGACACCUUGUGAAGUGGGAAAGAGAAUAAGGUCACUGAUGUGAUACUGCUGCCUACGUGGUUUCAAAUCCACAAAUGACUCUCCUCUUACACCCUUAAAUGCCCACAGUCUGCAAGGCUGUGUUGGUCUCACCUCUUUUUGGUGGAACUUAUAUUGUGGUAGAACGUUUAAUUCUUUUUUUUUUUUUUAAUUGCCACAAAUGUAUAAAUGCCAAAGAGAAGAUGACUUUCAGUAGCUGAAUAUCUGCUAAAAAACUCAUCAGGAAGGGAGGGAUAUGUCACACACAAGUAGGCACUUACCUGUCAAAGUGCUAUUUCUGCUCUGAGAUUCUGCUGAGAGGUUAUAAUUACAUGCAUUACAAAAAAUUACUUUAACUGGAGAAAAUAAUGCGAUGCACUGGGCAGACCUAACUAAUACACCUGUUGUUUACAAACACUGUCAUUGUUUUAGGAAUUGGAGAGACCACAGGGCACUGUAUGAGCUCAUGUGUAGGAAAUGACAGUCACAUAGCUUCUGCUGGAACGUACACCAAAAUGUGAUUUAUUUUAUGGGUACACUUACAGAGAUGUUUCGGCUCCCAGCCGGAGCUGUCUACCUGUAUUCACCUGUGAGUAAAAGCUAAUUCAUAGCCCAUGGAAAAGAGGGGGCACAUUUAGGAUAUGACUCUUCACAUACGUGCUUAAAAUAAAGGCAUAAAUUCCCCAGAACCUCCAGUUUCUCCCUGCUCGCUACUGAAGAGCUUUAGAAAAGUGGCCCAGAAUUUGAUGUCUCUUAUGCACAUAUGAACAGCUACAAGGGAGAAAUCCCACUCGAGGUGAUGGCCCUGUGGGUUUUGCCAGGGCUAUUGGUCUGCUGAGAUACAGAGCUCUGGCUCAUCGCAACCAGAAUCAACAUGCAGUUCUAAUGAGUAAAAAAUUAAAUAUGCCAAGGGAAGCAUUGACCAUAAGGCAGUGAUUAUACAGAAGUAAUCAUCUGGCUAUAAAGGGUAAAAAUCGUUCUUACUGUAUUAUUUGGAAAAGGCUCAGUGCUGAAUUGACAUUGACAGCAACUGAAGAUUGAAAGAAUGUUGUUGGUUUAGAUCAUUAUCUUGAGAUUAAAUAUCUAAAACUCACUGAAAAAUGAAACCUGAGCCUGAGAGAAAGCAAACAGCAGCAGUGGGCUCAGAGCUCAGAGCGGUGGACUCAGCCGCAGAGCUUCAGUCUCCGUCAGAAGGAAGUGCAGCAGUAACCGUUGUCCUGACAGACUCGAGCAAUGUUAGUCACACGUCUGCUGUGUCAGUGUGUUUACAACAAAUGGGAAAAUGAAUUCACUAGAUUGCUACAACGCUGGCAAAUGGUGCUCACAACAGCACACAGAAACCCUGUCCCGUUUCAUUUCUUGAGAUAAUGGAAAUGCCACUCACAGAGCCAUCCUUUGCCUGCACAUGCCCUUUCUUCAGGAAAAGGCAUUGUGACUGGCAUUUCUCUUCCCAGCAGCUUCUUUAUUGCUCUCUCCUUUUUGUCCUUGGAUAUUCUGUGCAAUCCAAUGCCUUUGCAAUGGUUGUGUUUAUUGUAUUUAGUGCAUGUCUUUCCUCCUUGCUCUUUAAAUCCCUUCUGAAUUGCUGCACACUCCACCAAGACGCUCAGUCCUUUCGGAAGCUCAGGUCAUUUUGUGUGUGGCACAGUUGUGUGUCACUGCAGGCUGAGGUGAGGGAUGUCUGGCAGCACAGUGUGCCCAAACUCUGACCCCAGGGAGGGCUGUGGUGAGACAGGGUGAGGAAUGUCCCCAAGCCCCUGCUCCGCUCAGGCAGAGCUGAAGCUCCCAGUGAGUAACCACUGCUGAACCUGGGCGCUGCAUUUCCCCAAAGACCACUCCCUGUGCAGAAGGGACCAGCCAAACACGUGGCAGAAACACACUCCCAGCAUUUUCAGACCUUUUUCUUUUUUUAAAAAUAAGGUAGCUAUAAGCAAACCAAACAGAUUUCUUCCUACAUUUUUAAUGGCUUACUCCUGUGCACGAGCUGCCUUGCAAUGAACGUCACAGCAAAGUUAACUUCCUUUAGUUUUGCUGUGAUGUAGAAUAAUGAUGGCAUUACCUGAUAAAGCUCUUUUUUCAGUGGGAAGAAAGGAUUUUCUCCAACAAGGUAUUUAUUAUCCCUGUAUAGGAUAUAUAGCUUACUACAGUGUCAGGCUGCAGUCCUGAAGCAAAUCCCAAAGCCUGAAUCCUGCAUUCAUGCUCAGAACCACUUCUCACAGCUGCAGCUACAGAAAAAAAACGGUGUUCUGUGAGGCACAGAAAUACAGGCUGAGUAAGAGGAGUCCAUUUCAUUCAUUAUCAAUUCAUUACCUGCUAACCCCUGCAGGGAUGGAGGAGAGGACAGUGAUACACUGCGUGAUUCUUAGCGGAGCACAACACGUGGGCAUGUUUGGUGGAGGCAGAGCACAAACCUCAUCUCACCCAAAGACAGACUGCCGUGUGUCAUAGUGCUAAUGCACAGAUUAUCUCAGCAGCAAAUAAAUUUUGUUGCUAAGAUUGGAGUAUUCAGGCAAUUUGGGACGUGAUUUGCUGGUAUAAAAAUACACUUUAAGAAAAUAAACUGCUGUUACGAGCAAUUUCACUUACUCAGAGGCACUGAAAGUGGGUUGGAGGAGGAAAAUGGGACUGAAGUACUGAAACCUAAGCUCCCCAUGACCAAAAAGGCUGUAACAGCUCUCUGUGCCAGCAUGGGCUCCCUUUGGUGUGCUCCUCCUGCCCUCUGUGGUUCCCUCUUGAGCCCUGAGUCAGCCCCAGCCCCGCAGCAGUGCCAUGCUCCAUCUCCUUCGGGCUCACCCUAAGCCACAAAACUGUGGUGUGGAUGUGGUUCCCCAGCACAGGGUGAAGCACAGCGCAGCCCUUGGAUACUGGCAGUGCAGGGAUGAGCUCUGGGUCCCCUCAGGGAGGGUGCACUGAGCAGCGGCCACCUGCUUUGCGUGGAAACACGGGAUGUGCUGGUAACCACUGGCUAAGGAAGCAUUUUUGGAGCUGACUACUGGCUGCAAUCAAUAUCUCUCACCACAGCUUCACGGCAGGGAAAAACGAAAUUCAUCUCUUUUGUCACUCAGUAAUGAAACUCAAUUUCUACAGGACUUCGGCAGAGAGGGGCCAUCCAUUAGAGAGAAACCUGUGAGGUCAGGAGAGCCUCCUGCAGACUGUAGCUAACCAGCACACACAAGUUCAACGCCAAAGUGCCUUUCGGUGCCCUAAAUGUCCAUUUAUGCAGAGGAGUCACUGACCAGCCCAGACAUUAAGGUGCUGUAAAUGGAAGGAAUAGGAUUAACAUCCAGUAAAGCUUCAGCAGAGAAGAUAUUCUUGCACAAAAUUAACCCAGCCAUAGCUACUCAAGAAUGCCACUUUUUAAACGAAGGGAUUUAAAGAUUACGAGAGGAUUUGUAUCCAUCUGUCACAUUUGGCCUGCUUUCAUUGUACAAAUCUUGCUCAGUCAAACUUCACUAAGAAUCCUGUCAGCAGCUGCCUAUUUUUAGAUGAACUUGCUUUAUUUGGUAGUUUCAAUAAAAUGAUUUCCUAACAGGGAAGAUUUACAAAAAGGGGCAUUAGAACAUUGAGUCCAUCGAAGCUCCACUUUAUUAAUAUUUGCAUGCUGUGCUACAAAGGCUAAAUUAAUGUGCACAGUCGUACUGUUUUAAUCCAGCAAAUGGAUGUAGCAGAAUUCUACACACACACACACAAAAAAGCCUUUGCAGCCCACAAAAUGAUGGAGUUAGGAUACCUAACCAGAAAAAUUAGCUUCGACCCAUUUUGACAAGUGCUUUUCUCUCUAGUGCACCUAUAAGUACAGCAUUUAAGUACAAUAUCCACCAAUUUUUCUUCAAAGAACUCACUGAUGGAAGAAAAGAAGGUGGAAAAUGCUCUCCUGAGAAGAGAGGACUUCAGAACCAUUUUGGAGAUGGCUGAAGCAAAACCCAACCAGGCUCUGGGUGCCACCACCAAGGCAAGCAUCCCGGCCAGCAACACUGCCCCGCACCCGGGAUGGGUUUUGUUGAUGGCUCACAUCAGCUCCUGUCAGACAAAGCCGUGUUUGCCCCUUACACGAUAAUCACGGGUAUUUCACUAUUUUGAUUUUAAAGACUGCUUUCCACUUUUUGUGUUUACUGCCAGCAGCUUCGUCUUCUCAUUAAAUAGAUUUUGAUAAGGAAAAAACAUUAAUAAAAUACAUCACCAACACAACAGGUCUGAGACUGAACAGUCUGAAUAGCUGGAGAGCUUGGAAUCGCGAACAUCUGCUGCAGUGGCCUCAAUCAGCACAUUCUGUGUGCUCAGAUCACAAUCAGAUCUUCCUUCAAGAGCAGGUAGCACCAGUUGUAUGGUUUUAGUGAACAAGUGAGAUGAUCAGACUGAUGAGCCUCUGCCAUCUCGCUGUUUUAACCUCUAGAGGUAUCUCUAGCUGAUGAGCAGACUCAAAUUCCGGCUUUUAAUUUACAGAGAGUUGCAUCCUCUCAGUUUUGAAUGCUGUGACUUUACCAAAAUGCUUAUUUACAUAGCUUUGCAUUUCUGCAUGAUUGCUUUAUUGUAUGAUAUAAAUCUCCAAGUGUGUGUUUGGAGCAGUUUAGUCUUUAUUUUCUCUGUACAAACGUGCAGUUUUCAAUAAAGGAAAACGCUAUCUUUUUCUCCUCACAGAGGUUGGUAAUUUUCUCCACUGUUUUCUUCCUUCCUAACAAACUUCAAUCAAUCAAAAUGACUGAAGAGAUGAAGUGACCAAAUCAGCGUGACAGCAAAGGAUCUACACUGUUCACUGGACUGGUAAAUCCUCUGUUGAAAUAUAAGCAGAAGCAACAGAAAGCGACAACUUUAAAAACCUUAUUUUUUAAGCAUCAUUAAAAACUGGAUGAAAACGCGAUGAAAAAUAUAGCCUGAGCCCCUGGUUUAACUGUGCUGUCCUUCAAGAACUCCUAUGACGCACAGCUCCUUAAGCACUACACGUACAGUCUGCAAAGGCACUGCAAGUUGCUUGAGAGCUUCUGAGAUCAAAGCAGUUUAGGAGAAUGAGGCGCAUUUACUGGGUGAGUGUGUGAAAGGAACUGAUGAAUUAACAGAGCAUUGUAAUUGCUUCAAGUCACUAAAGCUCACAGCCCUGCAAGUACCCAGAACAGACACUGCACGUGGCAUUUUAAGUUGCUUGAGCAUUUGAGAUAAAAGACAUUGAUAGUGAGCAGGAGUCUCAGCAGGAGACUGAGUAUCCAAGUGUUCUGAGUAUUUCUCAGCACUGCAUUGUAAGCACAAAGUGACACCACAAAACAAUACAAGCUUGUCAAUGCUCGCUUUUCCAGAGCUGGCCUAAGGCUGAGAAGCCAGGGGAUGAUUAGUAUAGCAGUAUGGGAGGCUAUUUUGGAAGAUUAGCAAACACCAUCCAAAGCAUCUGUUCUUUUUCCUCUGUAAUCAUAAAGGAGACCUGGCAUCAGGACAACUGAUCCCAAAGCUGAAGGAUUCAAAAGCUAGGACACUUCUAACUACUUUCAAACUAAAUGCUAGCAAAAAGUAGUAGCUAUAAUUACAAACCCUCAAAAAUCUAGACUGUCACGACACAAUCAUCAGAGCCCUGUAACUGCACUAAUAAAAUGCCUCUGACAUUUUACCAGUAAUCUGUUCUUGUCUAUCCACAUGAUAGAAUCAUAGAAUGGCCUGGGUUGAAAAGGACCACAAUGAUGAUCAGUUUCAACCGCUCCCCUCAUCAAACAUUUAAAAAUCAGACUCUGUGACCACCCAGUCCAUGCUAAGUGAGCUCAAAAACAAGUUAGUUGUGAAGAAGAAUCCAGCAAUGUGCAAGACAUCCAUUUGACAAAAACAUUUUAACAGGCUUCACGAUCCCUUCAAAGACUGGAAGUGAGCAACUUGUUUUCAGUAACGUGACUUAGAAAGAAGUAAAGAUAUACCUGCUUCAUCAUAGGAUACAGUCAAUUUUUCCAGCAUUUCUCGAUCAAUUGAUAAAAUCUGCUGUUCCAGGAUGGUCUGAUAAGACAUCACACUGUUCUCCUUGUCCUUCUCAUAGUCCUGAAGAUGUUGUUUCAGGACUUCAGGCAGGCGGGACUUCACAUACUCUGCUGCUGACUAUGUAGAAAAGAAACAAAGGUUUAAUUAGCAUUUCUGCUUCUGAAAAGCUUCAUGUAUGUUCAUAGCAUUAUUAUUAGUAUUGUUUUCAGUUAAAGCACUAUCAAAUUCAAUAAUCCAUACAAUAGAAUACUCUUAGUACUACCAACUCUAUAGUGCUAAAAUCAACAGGUCAUUUCUCUGCCAAAAUUACCCUGUGUGCCCAGAACUCCCACGGAUGCAGGGCUAUAACAAAACAAGUUCCUCUGAGCAAACGCACAGUCCUACUCUCCAGCAGGAUGCACAAGUCAUGGCUUCUCCAUUAACAAUGUGCUGUUUUGAUUGUCCAUUUGAGAUGCUCCAUAAACAGCAAACUGAGAGACACAGAGUAACUCAAACAAAUCUCCUGCAUUCCCUGGGAUUGCCGUGGAGCACUGAUGUGUGAAUGGGAUUUAGGCUUUGAUGCUCAGGUAGCCUUCACGGCCCUCACCACGUGCCUUGUCAUCUAGUGCAGCGCUGCCAGUUUGUUACAUCUCUGCUGAUGAGCUCUGCCUACCUUUCGGUUCAGUACAGGAUCAUCAUGUAAUGUUUCCCACCCAAAAUAACAUAUAAAAACAGCAGUGAAAAUAUGUUAUAAAAAUAAAUUCAAUUUUCCUUCAGCAGGAAGGGUAUGGCAGUCCAGAAGAAGUUAACCAUGCUUGAAUAGGAACAUAACACAAUGCCUACAUUCCUUCAUCAUAAACCUACUUUGAAAAUAAUUUUUAAAGUAUCAAGAGACUGAAUGGAAUCCCUUCACCUGCUAUUGUUACAUAACCGGGUUUGGACACGGAGACUGCAGAUGUGUUACACAUCCACAGAGAAUUCGUGAUUGGUCACAGAGACAAAAAAUUAAGACCAUAAGAAAACAGAAAUUAACACAAGGUGGCAUGGUUGUACCAGUGUUACAGAGCAACACGCAGAAAGCGCACAGGGCAGUAAAUGAGAAGAGCAUCUGGCUCUGGACAGGUGCCCACUGCCAGCAUUGCUGCUGCAGCCACUCUGCGCGGGAUGAGGCACCAGCAGCUCACUGAGAAGAGAAAAAGGAUAAACACAACAUUGCUUCAGGCCUGGGACUGACCACAGCUUAGCCCUGCUCAGCAGCAUGCUCUCCUGGGUCUAUAUUUAGUUUUCCAAAGUCAAUGGCUGGUUAAAUCACAACCUUAAAAUAUCACUGAAGUUGUGUUCGAUUUAUCUGCAGGCUAAGCCAUGUGAGACGAAUGAAAUUAUUCUACAAAACCAAACAAACUGUCCACAUGAGUACAACAUAUUUGCUGUUACAGUUUAAUAGCUGUUUUCUUCCAAGGGAAGGCCAAAAGACACACUGUACAGUAAUUAUUUAGUCCACGUUCAGGCAUUUAUAUUUAAUGUUUGCUUUGAGAAGAGGCUUCAGUCUGCAGGAGGUAUUUUUGUGCUCUCCCACUGCAGCAAUUCCAAAGAGCAGAAAGCAGAAGAAGAGUUCAUACACAUUCAUUUUCCUGCGCCAUCUGAGCAAAUACAUGCACACCAGUGGCUGUAAACACUGUCACUUCUGACCCACAGACCUCACAACCUGAGCAAAAGCCCAGAGACAGAUGGAUGGGAGCAGAUGGGAACACAACCAGGACCAAAGGCGCUGGCUGUGAGGAGGCAGCCCCAGCGAGGCACCUGCAGCACAGGGCCGCCUUCACCGCUGACAUCAGGACACCCACAAUCCACCCAAGUGCCUUUUCCUGAGAUGCUCACAUUCCUAGAGCUCCUCCUGCCGUGCUUCAGGGGACGCUGUUGCACUGAGUGCUUGAAGUCAUUCCCAGCAGCACUCCUGACCCAGAAGGGAUACAUGUGCACCAGGGCUAGACAUUUCCAAACAUAUGUGCAGCAAUUACUUUCCCGCUGAAGUGUUACUCUGCCAAGCAGGAUACAGCCAGCCUGGAGCCCAGGGCUGCAGGUAGCUGGCACAGCCUCCAGCCUUGAAGGACAGCAAGCACAUGGGGCUGAGACUGAUCUGAAUAUGGAUUUGAAAAGAAUUCUCAAUAGAUUUUGAAACGUCUGCCUUCCAUGCCACAGCUAGAUACUGAGCUGUAAAGUAAUGACAAAAUGGAUACGAACUCCUCGGCAUUUACACCAAUUGCUUUUAAGGUAUUUCAUUCUACUAUCAUCUUACACACCUACCUACAGUGAAAUAACUUGAGAAUCACAGAGUCAUAGAAUCAUUAACGUUGGAGAAGACUUGCAGAGCUUAUUCACAAAAAGUCAAUUUGUUCUCCACAACCCUACAUGUAAAUCACAUCAGGAAAUGCUGAAAUCCCCCACUGUGUCUCAGUCAAAACCUCCAAAGCACCCAUAGCCCUUCAGCAAAUUACCAACAUUUAUAACCGAUGGGAAAUACUUAUUCUAAGUAUUUUCUUUCUUUCUUUCUUUUUUCUUUUUUUAGUUAUGCCAAGUGCCACCCUUUGCUCUGCUUUCUGAAGCAUCUCCUUCUGGGAGCUCCCUUAUAUGUGGGGAAGUAAAGGUCUACACUGGUUAAUUAACAAUGUCUUUGUGAAGCUACUUCAGGAGUCAAGUGGCAGCUUGAGCAAGAAGUCUCCUUACACAGUCACAUCUCACACAAAAGGAGCUGAAUAUUUGGUGUGUGUUAGAAAGAGCCACCUCUGUAAAGGAAAGUCUCAGCCUGGCCUCAGUUGUUUUACAUGCGUUCUGCAGGCUGCUGCAGCUCAACACUUCUCAAGUCUGGAAUUACCAAUCUGCUCAACCUGUAAAAUUCAGGCUUCUACCAAAGCAAACUCAUGGCUCCGCACAUUCCUGCCACCUGAAAUAUGUCCUCAGUGGAUGAGCAGCUGCCCCGUAUGUCCCACAAAGCUGUGUUGGUGGCCAAACAGCAAAUGGGGAUGUGCGGCCAGAGGGUCUGCAUCCAUCGGCACACCCGUGGGCAUGCAGGAGGAGACCAGAGUGCUCCAGCAUCAAAUGUGCCAAUGGAGAAACCAAAUGCUAAGCAGAUCCAUGGCUCUGUGAGAAAGGAGUGCUACAGACAACAGUGUGGGAAGAUGAGCACAAGUGCACACACAGGAGGUGGAGAAGCUAAGGAGAUGGAACAGCUGUGAGCCCUAACACAGACCUCCAGUGCAAAGAACGGAAGAUGAGGACUUCCUUGCCUGAGACCUGUGCUCCUCAUCGGCUGCAGUGAUUUACAGGGACAGGAGGGAAACUACAGAUGUCUGACCUUAAUACUCUUGAGACAAUUUGUCCUGUCUGCCUUGCUGCUGCAAGCAUCCACGGACCACAGGAAAAUACAGAUCCAUUUUAGAGAGCAGUACUGCUGGCAUAGCAUCUACACUGAAGGAUUAAAAACAAAAUCAAGAUUCUUUUGACACAUCUUUCUGCCUCUUCUUGUCACUGUGCUUGAAGGUCACAGGGUCACUACUACAUGCUUCAGAGACAACACAUCAGGAGUUGCUGGGCAAGGGCAGAGUUGCCAUUAUGGAAAAGGGGCACAUUGCUCACCUCCUGGUUCACCUGAGGGAAGGAUCUUGGAAGGAAGCACACGCACAGUCAGAAUGUAAUAAUGAGCAUGGAAACAAGUGGAGACUGGAGUAAAAAAUGACUUAAAGCAAGCCAAGGUGUCAAGAAAAGUUUCUGCAAGUCCAUUUGUAAUAAGAAAAAGACAGGCAAAUGUUGGUCUACAGCUCAGCAGAGUAGAAAAGCUUUUGACAGAUGAUGCCAUAAAAGCUGAAGUGUUUGCAGUCUCAUUUUGGCUACAGUAUGACUGCCUUUACUUUCCUGCAUUCAAGUGGCAAUUUAUAUCAGAGGAAGGUAACCAAAAUCACAAGACAGAAUAGGGAAAGAAUAUGUUAGGAAGUGUUUGUAAAGAUCAGGGUUUUCCAGCUGGCUGGGCCAGAUGAAAUUAGUUCAGCUGUAGGUGGCUGACUGAAACAAUUUCUUUAACAACUUCUGUCUUUGAAAAUUCACAGAGGACAGCGAGACACUAUUUGGAAAGGGCAAAUGCAGGGACUACUUUUAAAAUAGUAUAAAGGAAGAGAAGUGGAAUAACAGAGUAGGCAGUUUAACUUCGGUGCCUAAAAGUGGAAUGAAAGAUCAAAUGAUCCCUAUUAUGAGAAAGCAACAAGAACUGUAAGGCUCAGCCAGCAAAGUGCUUCUCCUGGGGCAUGCAGAGAUGCAGUAACGUGGUUCCCAUCAGUGCAGACUGGGGAGCAGCUCAAGGACUGCACCAGAAGUACUGCUGGAAAUAUGCAAUGCUCCCACUUGAGAUUUCACAUUCCACAUUUUAGACUAGAACUCCUUAGCAAGGAUACUUUUCAACACAUGUUUCUGGGCUAAUAUCUCAAAAUAAACUGAUAAACAAAACCUAAAAAAUCCACCAUACCACAAUUCAUUACACAAAGAACAGUGCCCUUAACUUGCUAGAUAUCUUACACUGAGAUGAGAAAAAAUGAGGUUGUGGACAAGAAAUGUAUUCCAGUCCAUCAGUGAUUUUUUUGCAGCAGUUUCCUGUUUAUUUCAAAAAAGUACACUACAAAAAUACAUUUUAAAUAAAUGCUUAUAUAUAUAAACUCAGAUUGCUGGGAUAAAAAACAACACCUCAAGUAAAUGAAGGCCCCCAAGUCAAUCUACCUGUGCGCACUGCCCUCUGGCACACAGCAGCCAGGGCCAACCAGGAGAGCUCCACCAGCACGUUCCUCGUGCUGUGCUCAAGCACAUUUAUUCCCACUUCACUAUAGUUACAAAUGAAGCUGCACAGCCCUAAACCUUUAAGAGGUGUUUUCGACAUCUCAAUGCUCUAUUGGGUGCUGACUGUACAUAGAAACGGUUACAGAACACUCUUUGGAUCCCUGCCCUGAUGAGAGCUUUGCUCAGGCCGAUGCCGCUCCUUCAUCAGCAGGAGCCACAAAUAACUCCCCUGAAGUCAGUGGAAUUUUGCUAUGCCAAACCCCUUGGACAAAGGACGUGAGUCUAUUAAUAGUUAUUCAGAAGGAAAACAUGAUAGCAAAACAUAAUCUACUCUCAAGAGGAUAAUGCAAGGUCUACAAAUGGCACUGGGAUGAACAUUUUGCCCUCUACAGCAAGGAACUAUUUAAAGAACAAACAAGUCAAAAGGAACUCAUUAGCAGUGUUUUCCCAUAUAAACUUCUGGUGUGCUUAGCCCUCUGUAUCUAUUAAAAAGUGUGCCCUUUUUUUCCCCCCUCAAAAAUGACUAUUCAAGCCAAUAACUUGCUACUGGUCAGUAAGUGUCCUAGGAAAGCCAAGCCCAGAGUUUAACCAAGGCUGGUAGCAAAAGCAUGAUGUGAGAAAUGCUUGCAGGACUCAGAAAUACUCUCUGAGGCCUUUCAACAGCACUAAGAACACCGCUGGUAUUUUGCAAUCCAUGCACAAUUUAUUUCCAUAGCAGGAAAAAUAUUAGCCUCACAAACAUCUUUAGUCAAUCAGAGGCUGUAUAAUCAUGAGAAAAUUAACCUGAUUCCAAGGAGAUGUAUAAAGUUCAAAUUAGUAUUCACACUGGAUUGUCGGAGAUAUAUUUAAUCUAUAAUUACAGUAAUCCACAGCUGCUUCAACUGUAGAAAAUAAUGAAUUGCCCAGUGAGAGCCGGUGCCCAUGAAAUGGAAAGCAAAGGCCAUCUGUUGUGGAGCUUCCUCUGAUUCUGUGCUUUGAGCACAGAGAGCUUGAUCUCCUUUGACACAGCCUAUAUGUGAUUUAUGGCUGCAAGCCCUCCAAGCAGCCAUAUCACCAAACAGAGGGAAUAAAAAUAAAAAUGAUAAAUGAUGAUGA
RNA transcript from Gallus gallus (chicken), 22893 nucleotides. It is a transcript of the gene named beta-1,3-N-acetylgalactosaminyltransferase 1, with no coding region annotated. The record is from RefSeq and is a predicted model, not a curated record. The transcript is spliced from 7 exons. Lineage: Eukaryota; Metazoa; Chordata; Aves; Galliformes; Phasianidae.